Long non-coding RNA from Camelina sativa (false flax), 566 nucleotides. RefSeq lists it as uncharacterized. The record is from RefSeq and is a predicted model, not a curated record. NCBI's taxonomy places the organism in Eukaryota, Viridiplantae, Streptophyta, Magnoliopsida, Brassicales, Brassicaceae.
AUCACUUUUGUUUCUCAUCUCAGAAACUUCAAUCUCCUCGACUCGGCGCACGAACUUCGAUCUCUUCGUCGUCGUCGUGUUCUUCUCACCUUGUUCUAAUCACCAAUAUGUCGUCUCCUCGCCGUGUACUUCCUUUGCUUGUAAGGAUCGAAUUUGAUGUUACCUCAAACACUCGUUGUUUCACGUCAUCUCCUCGCCUUCCCUUUCCUGAAGAGAUCUGAUACAGAGUUUGCUCAGAUUCUUUUCCCCUCGCCAAUCUCUUGUCUUUGAUCUAACGUCAUCGGUCUAUCACCAUCUCCGAUCUGUUUUUAUGGUUCUUCUUUUUUCUCAAUCCCUCACACGACGCUUUAUCAUUGUGUCUUCCUAAGUAAGGACAUGGGAGAUUUUUUUUCUUACAAAUGCCCCCACUGCCUAAGCUCAUUUCAAAAUUGAAGAGGAGCCAAAUUGUACUUUAGAAACACAAAUUGUAUAAGUCCGCUACAAAAACAACAAGAUAUCACAUGAUGUUGAUAUGUUUGUUAAUUAUUGUAUUAAGAUUUAUGGUAGGUAGCUAUGUUUUCACCACA